GGGCCUCUAACUCAAUUGGUUUUAGAGUAUCCGGCUCAUAACCGGAAAGUUCUGGGUUCAAGUCCCAGGGGGCCCA
Molecule: transfer RNA, 76 nt
Filed under: marine sediment metagenome
Description: tRNA-Met
Rfam family: tRNA
About the family: Transfer RNA (tRNA) molecules are approximately 80 nucleotides in length. Their secondary structure includes four short double-helical elements and three loops (D, anti-codon, and T loops).
Source: RNAcentral